CUCCCACUACACUGAGAAUCAAAGUGAUGAUGAACAUGGACUAAAAUUGCGAUGUGUGCUUUGGAGUACUUCAGAUGGUUCUGGUUUCACUAAUGUCUAUCUGCUUAUGGUUAUUUUUGCAUCCGUGUUGUAAUAUGAAGGAAAAUAUCAGAAUUUUUCACUGAGGACAACACUGAUAUUCAAAAGAAAAACUUGUUUGCUUUCCUUGGAUCAACCUUAAUUCCACUAUGUAUCCCAUACAUUCUUCAGACCCAGCAACAUCCUCUUUUCGGUGCCCAAAUCAUGGCUGUACCACUAUGCCAGCUCUGACCUUGAAGUUCAUAUGAAUUCCCGCUUCCAGGUCCCCGCUUCAGCUCCUGUCCUUGCUUUCAGAGAUGGAGUGUGUGACCUGAGAGUCAUAAACUCAAAUCAACCCCUUAUGCUGUCUCAUUUCAUCAAUGGAAUUUAUCUGGUCAAGGCUUCACACAAGCGGAGAGGAAGGGCAGGUAUCAUGAGCUGACAAGUUGGCUUUAGUGGCUAAUGGAGUCUGCCAGCAAGCCAGAAAACCUCAGUUUGAUCUGCUUGAUGAACACAAAGAAGUGACUCUCACAUGUUGUCCUCUGAUGUAUGCUUGCUUACACGUUUAUCUACACACAUAACAUAAUA
Mesocricetus auratus (golden hamster) is the source of this 645-nucleotide long non-coding RNA. RefSeq lists it as uncharacterized. The record is from RefSeq and is a predicted model, not a curated record. The transcript is spliced from 4 exons. NCBI's taxonomy places the organism in Eukaryota, Metazoa, Chordata, Mammalia, Rodentia, Cricetidae.